RNAcentral lists this ribosomal RNA (458 nucleotides) under Anaplasma platys. Its description in RNAcentral is "bacterial SSU rRNA". It matches the Rfam family "Bacterial small subunit ribosomal RNA", at positions 94 to 587 of the family's 1533-position model. Lineage: Bacteria; Pseudomonadati; Pseudomonadota; Alphaproteobacteria; Rickettsiales; Anaplasmataceae. The record is from RNAcentral.
AGUGGCAGACGGGUGAGUAAUGCAUAGGAAUCUACCUAGUAGUAUGGGAUAGCCACUAGAAAUGGUGGGUAAUACUGUAUAAUCCCUGCGGGGGAAAGAUUUAUCGCUAUUAGAUGAGCCUAUGUUAGAUUAGCUAGUUGGUAGGGUAAAGGCCUACCAAGGCAGUGAUCUAUAGCUGGUCUGAGAGGAUGAUCAGCCACACUGGAACUGAGAUACGGUCCAGACUCCUACGGGAGGCAGCAGUGGGGAAUAUUGGACAAUGGGCGCAAGCCUGAUCCAGCUAUGCCGCGUGAGUGAGGAAGGCCUUAGGGUUGUAAAACUCUUUCAGUGGGGAAGAUAAUGACGGUACCCACAGAAGAAGUCCCGGCAAACUCCGUGCCAGCAGCCGCGGUAAUACGGAGGGGGCAAGCGUUGUUCGGAAUUAUUGGGCGUAAAGGGCAUGUAGGCGGUUCGGUAAG